GAUGAAGAACGUAGCGAAAUGCGAUAAGUAAUGUGAAUUGCAGAAUUCAGUGAAUCAUCGAAUCUUUGAACGCACAUUGCGCCCGCCAGUAUUCUGGCGGGCAUGCCUGUUCGAGCGUCAUUUCAACCAUCAAGCCCCCGGGCUUGUGUUGGGGACCUGCGGCUGCCGCAGGCCCUGAAAAGCAGUGGCGGGCUCGCUGUCACACCGAGCGUAGUAGAUUUUAUCUCGCUCAGGGCGUGCUGCGGGUUCCGGCCGUUAAACCACCUUCAUAACCCAAGGUUGACCUCGGAUCAGGUAGGAAGACCCGCUGAACUUAAGUAUAUCAAUAAGCGGAGGA
This 337-nucleotide unclassified non-coding RNA is filed under the name soil metagenome. RNAcentral describes it as "partial contains 5.8S ribosomal RNA, internal transcribed spacer 2, and large subunit ribosomal RNA". The stretch from base 1 to 120 matches the Rfam family "5.8S ribosomal RNA", at positions 35 to 154 of the family's 154-position model. The record is from RNAcentral.